GCGGAAGUAGCUCAGUUGGUAGAGCAUCAGCCUUCCAAGCUGAGGGUCAGUUGGUAGAGCAUCAGCCUGCCAAGCUGAGGGUCGCGAGUUCGAACCUCGUCUUCCGCUCCA
Molecule: transfer RNA, 111 nt
Filed under: Alistipes sp. CAG:514
Lineage: Bacteria; Pseudomonadati; Bacteroidota; Bacteroidia; Bacteroidales; Rikenellaceae
Description: transfer RNA-Gly(TCC)
Rfam family: tRNA
About the family: Transfer RNA (tRNA) molecules are approximately 80 nucleotides in length. Their secondary structure includes four short double-helical elements and three loops (D, anti-codon, and T loops). Further hydrogen bonds mediate the characteristic L-shaped molecular structure. tRNAs have two regions of fundamental functional importance: the anti-codon, which is responsible for specific mRNA codon recognition, and the 3' end, to which the tRNAs corresponding amino acid is attached (by aminoacyl-tRNA synthetases). tRNAs cope with the degeneracy of the genetic code in two manners: having more than one tRNA (with a specific anti-codon) for a particular amino acid; and 'wobble' base-pairing, i.e. permitting non-standard base-pairing at the 3rd anti-codon position.
Source: RNAcentral